Molecule: ribosomal RNA, 200 nt
Filed under: uncultured bacterium
Lineage: Bacteria
Description: partial 16S ribosomal RNA
Rfam family: Bacterial small subunit ribosomal RNA
Source: RNAcentral
CGAUGGAGGGGGAUAACUACUGGAAACGGUAGCUAAUACCGCAUAACGUCGCAAGACCAAAGAGGGGGACCUUCGGGCCUCUGCCAUCGGAUGUGCCCAGAUGGGAUUAGCUAGUAGGUGGGGUAACGGCUCACCUAGGCGACGAUCCCUAGCUGGUCUGAGAGGAUGACCAGCCACACUGGAACUGAGACACGGUCCAG